Molecule: ribosomal RNA, 365 nt
Filed under: uncultured eukaryote
Lineage: Eukaryota
Description: partial 18S ribosomal RNA
Rfam family: Eukaryotic small subunit ribosomal RNA
Source: RNAcentral
CAAUAGCGUAUAUUUAAGUUGUUGCAGUUAAAAAGCUCGUAGUCGGAUUUUGGCUGAGAACGAACGGUCCGCCGUUAGGUGUGCACUGUUUGGUCUCAGCUUCCUGGUGAGGAGGUGUGCUUCACGGCCACUUAGUCACCGUGGUUACUUUGAAAAAAUUAGAGUGUUCAAAGCGGGCUUACGCUUGAAUAUAUUAGCAUGGAAUAACACCAUAGGACUCCUGUCCUAUUUCGUUGGUCUCGGGACGGGAGUAAUGAUUAAGAGGAACAGUUGGGGGCAUUCGUAUUUCAUUGUCAGAGGUUAAAUUCUUGGAUUUAUGAAAGACGAACUUCUGCGAAAGCAUUUGCCAAGGAUGUUUUCAUUGA